GGUGCGGGCAGCUACACAUGCAGUCGAGCGGCAGCGACAACAUUAGAUCCCUUCGGGUGCAUUUGAUUGGGCGGCGAGCGGCGGACGGGUGAGUAAUGGCUGGGAACCUGCCCUGAUGUGGGGGAUAACAGUUGGAAACGACUGCUAAUACCGCAUAACGUCCAUUCUUUUCGGAGAAGGAACCUCAGACGACGACCUUCGGGCUUCUCCCGUCUGGAAGUACCCAGUUGGGAUUAUCUGGUUGGUGAGGUAAUGGCUCACCAAGGCGACUAUCCCUAACUGGUUUGAGAGGAUGAUCAGCCACACUGGAACUGAUCCUCGGUCCAGACUCCUACGGGAGGCAUGAGUGGGGAAUAUUGCACAGAGGCCGCAAUGCUGAUGCAGCCAUGCCGCGUGUGUGAAUAAGGCCUUCGGGUUGUAAAGCACUUUCAGCAGUGAGGAAGGUUUGCUAGUUAAUACCUGCUCUAUUUGACAUUAGCUGCAUAACAACCAGCCGCUAACUCCGUGCCAACAGCCGCGGUAAUACUUAAGGUGCAAUCCUGAAUCUAAAUUACUGGGCGUAAAUUUGAUGCACGCGAUUUGUUAACCAAGAUGUGAAACCGCCGGGCUCAAUUUGAAAACUGCAUUUUGAACUGUGUAGCUAGAGUCAUGUAUACGGGGGUAGAAUUUCAAGUGUAACGGUGAAAUGCGUAUAGAUCUGACGGAAGACCGCUCGCGAACGCGGACCCCUGCUCAAAUGCUGACGCUCAGAUGCCAAAGCGUGUUAGAGCAAACAGGAAUACAUACCCUGGUAGUCCACCCCCUAGACGACGUCUACCUGGAGGCUGUACUCUUGAACCGUGGGUUUCAGAGCUAACGCCUGAAGUAUACCGCCUGGGGAUUACGGUCGCAAGAUUUAACUCAGAUGCAUUCACGGGGGGCAGCACGAGCUGUAGAUCAUGCGUUUAAUUCAACGCUACGCACACAUGCUUACCUACUCAUGACGUCCAGAUUAUCCUGAACAUUCUCUGCUGCGCAUUCAGGACUCUGAGACUGGCGCCGCUGGCGUUCGUAACGCCGGUUGAG
Molecule: ribosomal RNA, 1065 nt
Filed under: uncultured bacterium
Lineage: Bacteria
Description: bacterial SSU rRNA
Rfam family: Bacterial small subunit ribosomal RNA
Source: RNAcentral